AGGAUGAACGCUAGCGGCGCGCUUAACGCAUGCAAGUCGAGCGAUGAGGCUCCCUUCGGGGGGUACAUCAGCGGCAGACGGGUGAGUAACACGUAGGUAACCUGCCCUCAAGACGGGGAUAACGCCUGGAAACGGGCGCUAAUACCGGAUGACCUUGGUCGGGGAAGCUUCGGCUAAGGAAAGGCUUUGGCGCUUGAGGAGGGGCCUGCGGCCCAUCAGUUAGUUGGUAGGGUAACGGCCUACCAAGGCGAAGACGGGUAGGGGGUGUGAGAGCACGGCCCCCCACACUGGGACUGAGACACGGCCCAGACUCCUACGGGAGGCAGCAGCGGGGAAUAUUGCGCAAUGGACGGAAGUCAGACGCAGCGACGCCGCGUGGGUGAAGAAGGCCUUCGGGUUGUAAAGCCCUUUUCUGUGGGAAGAGAAAGGACGGUACCAUAGGAAUAAGCGUCGGCUAACUACGUGCCAGCAGCCGCGGUAAGACGUAGGACGCGAGCGUUAUCCGGAUUUACUGGGCGUAAAGCGUGUGUAGGCGGCGUGACAAGUUGGGCGUGAAAGCCCCGUGCUCAACGCGGGGAGGCCGCACAAUACUGUCAGGCUAGAGGGCAUCAGAGGGGUGUGGAAUUCCCGGAGUAGCGGUAAAAUGCGCAGAUAUCGGGAGGAACACCGGUGGCGAAAGCGGCACCCUGGGGGUGCACCUGACGCUGAGAGACGACAGCUAGGGGAGCGAACAGGAUUAGAGACCCUGGUAGUCCUAGCCGUAAACGAUGGAUGCUAGGUGUGGGAGUGAAGAACUUCUGUGCCGCAGCGAACGCGAUAAGCAUCCCGCCUGGGGAGUACGGCCGCAAGGUUAAAACUCAAACGAAUUGACGGGGACCCGCACAAGCAGCGGGAGCGUGUGGUUUAAUUCGAUGCUACACGAAGAACCUUACCUGGGAUUGACAUAUGGGUGGUAGUAAGCCCGAAAGGCAAGCGACCCUUCGGGGAGCCU
This 991-nucleotide ribosomal RNA is filed under the name uncultured organism. RNAcentral describes it as "bacterial SSU rRNA". It matches the Rfam family "Bacterial small subunit ribosomal RNA", at positions 26 to 1030 of the family's 1533-position model. The record is from RNAcentral.